UAGUUGACUUGGUGGAAAUGACGUCAGGAGCUGGAUUAGAACUCGCAUCGCUCGCUGUAUGAUUUACCAGAGUGUGUGUGUUAACCGCUAGACCACAGCCAUGAAAAGGCACCAAUCCAUAUUUCCUGAACUUUGCUCUCAUCCUUACAUGACCUCUCUGUAUCUCUGUCAUGUUUAUCAUAUCAUUUAUCACCUAUAAUUCACUUUCUGUUUUACUACACAAUCCUCCGAUAAGCUGUGAACUCUUCCGAAAAGUUGCGUUGCUCACGAGUCCCUGUGUUUGAGCUGUCACUACAGUUGGAGAUCACUUUGUUGAGCAGGAGAGGGAGGAGGGAAAACAUAGAAUUAAAAAUUAAACUCAAGCCUUACUGACAGGCGGACAGAAGCAUAUUUAUUUAUAAGCAGUUUAAACAUCUUCUGGAAGUGUGUGUGCAUGUGCAGGAGCCGAAGACUGAAUUAAAGGUCCUCGUGUGCAGAAAACUUCAGCUGAGCCUGAGGCGUCCGUCCAGCGAUGUUCCUCAGAGACGACUGAGUGGCCGGGGCAGUCGAUAGCACUUUAAAGGAUGUUGAUCCACACUGGCAAAAAAGGCCUGAUGAGAUCUACGGGGAGGAAUGGAGGAGACCGAAGCGGACGCUCACCUGUUGCCCCGUGACCAGGAGGAUGGAGCCCUCUUUGGCGUGCAUCACCUGCCGGAAAACGUGGUCCAGGAUGAGGAGUUCACUCCAGCAGUUUUGGAGAAGCUUCAUUUGGUCGUCAACCUGAGGAGAGACCGACAAAUGUGCGUUCUCAUCAAAGGCCUUGCCCCCACACGAGCCUCUGAUGCCCGGCGCUUUUGGGUCAUCAAACAGGGAUGAGGGUGCCAUGAGUCAAAGCAGGGGAAGACACAGCAGACCGGGGCCGCUGCCAACAACACGUCAGAUGGGCAGAGAAGGCAUCGCUGACCUUUUAAAGUGCGUCUGACACCGCUGUUUCCAUGUCAGCUCACUUCCCUUUGCACUGUCACCGCUAUGUGUAACUGGGGUCUGUGAAGCGAACUUAUGACAGGCAAGCUAUGUCCUCUAACACUGGAGGUAGUGACUUUGUAUGUUUGAGACACAAUGGCUUUCAAAUGUAAGCAUCAUUUGCGUUUUUUAAAAUCGUUUGGAAAAAAUAUUUGUACUAUUUAAUUACGUGUUCUUCUGAAAUCGGUGGAAAUUAAUGCAAUUUUUUUUUUUAAAUACCUACAAAGGUUGGUGUUCAUUGGGCCUCUUUCAUAAAAAAACAAGCAGAAUGCAUUUCUGUGUACAACUGUAAAAAUAGAGUUUAUUAUUAUUCUUAAAACUAAAUUUGAAUACAGCAGUUUAAGAAAGUGUACAAUUUGAACAAUUCACACAGGAAAUGAUUUACACAACUGACAUUCAAAUAUGUGCAUAAGCACAUAAGUUCAUAAGUUUUUUUGGCCUGGUAUUUUUGCUAUUUUUAAAUAUUAUUAACACCAUUCAUUUCUGUAAAUUUCACAAUUUACAUAAAAAUGUUUUUAUGAACAAUUUACACAAAAAAACAUUAACAGCAUACAAUUGCAUACAUCAAAUAUGUACAAAGGUUUCUGUUUAUUGGACCUUGUUUGAAAAAUGAGAAGAAUUAAUUUGUUUAAAUCAUUCACAAAACUACUUUUACUAUUUCUAAGUAAUAUUGAAACUAUUCCUAAAUUGAAUUUGCCAAUUUACGAAGGAAUAAGUUUCCAAGCAAUUUGCAAAGAAAAUAGCAUCAUUGUUUACAGUAUCUAUCAAUUUCAAUGCAAUUUUCACAAAUUGUGGAUUUAUCAUUCUAAUAAUUUUGGGUUUAUCAUUUGACAACUGGGUCUAUAAUUUUGAAAAUUUUAGCUUUAUCAUUCAACAGUUGGGUUUAUAAUUUUUUUGACAAAUUGUUGGUUUAUCAUUUUGAUCAUUUUGGGUUUAUUCCUUUAAGUUUAUCAUUUGACAACUUGGUUUAUCAUUUUAAUUUAUUUAUUUAUUUUUUGGACAAUUGGGUUUAUCAUUUUGACAAUUUUUGGUUUAUCAAUUAACAGUUGGGUUUAUUAUUCUGAAAAUUUUAGGUGCAUCAUUUUGACAAUUUUAGGUUUAUCAUUCAACAAUUGGGUUUAUAAUUUUGACAAUUUUGGGUUGAUCAUUUUGAUAAUUUUGGAUUUAUCUUUUAGACAAUUUUGGGCUUAUCAUUCAGCAAUUGGAUUUAUAAUUCUGACAGUUUUGGGUUUAUAAUUUUGACAAUUUUGGGUUUAUCCUUUUGAAAACUAGAUUUAUCAUUUGACAAUUGGGUUUAUAAUUUUGUCAAUUUCUGGUUCACCAUUUUGAUAAUUUAUCAUUUUGACUAUUUUAGGUUUAUCAGUUGGGUUUAUCAUUUUGACAACUGGGUUUAUUGUUUUGAUUAAUUGUGGGUUUAUCAUUUUGACAAUUUUGGGUUUAUCAUUUUGAAAAUGUUAGCUUUAUCAUUUGACAAAUGGGUUUAUAAUUUUGACAGUUUUGGGUUUAUCAUUUUAAUAACUGAUUUAUAAUUUUGAAAAUGUAUCAUUUGAAUAAUUUUGGGUCUAAUCAUUUUGACAAGUUUAGGUUUAUCAUUUGACAAUUGGGUUUAUAAUUCUGACAACUGGUCUUAUAAUUUUGAUUACUUAAAGUUUCUCAUUUUUACAAUUUUGGGUUUAUCAUUCAUGAAACAAAUAGACCUUUUUUUUUAACAACGAGUUUGCUCAGAAAUACAUUGUGCUCAUGUGUAUAAAAAUGAUGUAUAUUAUCAAUUAUCAACCAGCAACACUGGCAAAAUAUGCUGCAUUUUAAUGUUUAACACAGUCAUACAGUUGAUGUGAUUAGUAUUUUUUCAGCAUGGAUCACAGAAAUAAACCCAAGCAGACUCACAGAC
Long non-coding RNA from Labeo rohita (rohu), 2893 nucleotides. RefSeq lists it as uncharacterized. The transcript is spliced from 3 exons. The record is from RefSeq and is a predicted model, not a curated record. NCBI's taxonomy places the organism in Eukaryota, Metazoa, Chordata, Actinopteri, Cypriniformes, Cyprinidae.